This 1941-nucleotide long non-coding RNA is filed under the name Marmota monax (woodchuck). The record is from RNAcentral. Lineage: Eukaryota; Metazoa; Chordata; Mammalia; Rodentia; Sciuridae.
AACAGGGAUGGUUUUAAAAUUUUUAAGACAUAAUUAUGUACAAUUCAUACGAGGAACAAAAAAAUAUUUCGUACCUAAGCAUAAAUCUUAAGUAUAUGGUGUUAAUGAGGGGACAAUUUAAACAAAUGCAAAAUUUUAUGGAUCUUCAUAAAUGGAUAAAAAGUGGUGGAUGAGAAGACUUGAUUUAACCUUAACCAAGAUCCCAAUUCUUUCUCCAAAUUGGCCAAUAGAUUCUGUGGAGUUCAAUAAGAAAUCCCAGUGGUCUUCAUUGUAAAACUUGACAAACCAAUUUUAAAUUUUAAUGAAAGACCAAAGGGCCAAGGAUGCUCAAGACGUUUCUAAGAAAGAAUGAUGUGUGAGGGGAAUAUAAACUAGCACUGUAGGAAUGUAAAACUUAGUGUAAAUGCAGUGAUUGAAACAAUGACUUAGGGUUGGGGAAGGAUCUCCUGCACAAGAGAGUACAAGCCUCAGUCAAUAGAAAAAAUUUGGCUUCAUUGAUAGUGAAUAGUUUUGUUUCCAAACAGGCCAUAGAGUGAAAACUUACAUACAUCCCUGGUAAAGAACACCUGGAUGCAAAUUCAUACUGAAAACACCCUGGAGAAAUGGAACCAAACAGGCAGGAAUUUCAAGGAAGAAGAAGAAGUGGCUUAUAAACAUGAAAAGCUGUUUGGCCUUAUUUAGUCUUCAGGAAACACAUUAAAACCAUAAAUUUUUCUAGCCAUCCAAUUAACAGAAACUAUAAAACGUCAGAAAAUACCAACAUUCAGAGACAUUUUGGCAACAGUGACUACCUUCUGUUACUAUUGGUGUGACAGUUGGAUCACCACUUAGGAACAGUGUGGCCUGGUGAAAUUGCACAGUUCAUCUGAUAGCCCCUCUGCACUUCAGAACUCAUGCACAUGUGUGCCGGAGAUGUGCAGGAGCAACUCUAUCAGUGUUAACUGAGCUACACAGGGGCCAGAGAUAUGUGGUAAAGCGCUUGCCUGGUAUGCACAGGGCCCUGUGCUCCAUCCCCAGCACCACAAAAGAAGGAAGGGAAGGAAGAAUCCAGUGCCCACCUGCCAUACAGUGGGUAAAGAGGUCUCUGUGCAGUGGAGCUCUGUGGAGCAGGAUGGGCAUCAGACAGCUGUAAGGGAAGCAAGCCCAAGGAGAACCAGCAUGGGCACCUUUAUACAAAUGUUCAAAAUCAGAAAACAGAAUUAUCACUAAGGGACUCAUUCACAAAUAGUAAAUUUACUAAGAAAAUGACUAACAUCAUUCAGAAUCAUGAUUUCCUUAGGGGAAGGGGCGGUAGAGGGAAUGAGUUCAGAGAGGAGCCCAGAAGCUCAUGAGAACUUGAUAAUAACCUUUUGACCCUAUUAGCAUGUCAGUUCCCCUUGAGUUACUGUAUAAAUUCAGUACAAAACCAAACCAAAGACUACUUUUAAAUAUAAUUUAAAAAUUUACUAGAAGUAUAAACAUGAAAAUAGGAAACUCUUCCUUGAAAGAAGAAAAAAAUAGAAGGAACUUGCUGAACCAAACAUCCCAUUCUUUAAAAGCGCAAUUAAAAUGGCUACACUGGUAUAAAUAGCAAGUUAAUGGAAAACAGUUUUAAAAAUAGAAAUGAACUCAAUUACUUUUAAGUAUUUAGAGUACAUUAAAGAUAUCUUUUAAAAAUCAUUCUGACCAUGGUGAUUCAAUGAAAGGUGCUGGUACUGCUGGAGAAAAUUAAGUUUAAAAGCAUUAUAAAAAAUAGAAAACAAUACAGUUCUUUGUUGGGGUUAGAGAAGUUUGUUCUAAGAACUCAAACAAUGGCCUGAGACCCAACCCUGUGCACAGUCACCUGCCUUUGAAAUCCAUGGAGCACUCGCCCCAACAUGCAUGUGUGUGUGUGUGUGUGUGUGUGUGUGUAUACUGGCCACAUGUGUGUUUAAAAUUCAUGCUUAAAUUGGAAUAUAUGCU